UAGGGAAUCUUCGGCAAUGGGGGCAACCCUGACCGAGCAACGCCGCGUGAGUGAAGAAGGUUUUCGGAUCGUAAAGCUCUGUUGUAAGAGAAGAACGAGUGUGAGAGUGGAAAGUUCACACUGUGACGGUAUCUUACCAGAAAGGGACGGCUAACUACGUGCCAGCAGCCGCGGUAAUACGUAGGUCCCGAGCGUUGUCCGGAUUUAUUGGGCGUAAAGCGAGCGCAGGCGGUUAGAUAAGUCUGAAGUUAAAGGCUGUGGCUUAACCAUAGUACGCUUUGGAAACUGUUUAACUUGAGUGCAGAAGGGGAGAGUGGAAUUCCAUGUGUAGCGGUGAAAUGCGUAGAUAUAUGGAGAACACCGGUGGCGAAAGCGGCUCUCUGGUCUGUAACUGACGCUGAGGCUCGAAAGCGUGGGGGGCGAACAGGAUUAGAUACCCUGGUAGUCCACGCCGUAAACGAUGAGUGCUAGGUGUUAGGCCCUUUCCGGGCUUAGUGCCGCAGCUAACGCAUUAAGCACUCCGCCU
RNAcentral lists this ribosomal RNA (526 nucleotides) under uncultured bacterium. RNAcentral's name for it is "partial 16S ribosomal RNA". It matches the Rfam family "Bacterial small subunit ribosomal RNA", at positions 355 to 874 of the family's 1533-position model. The record is from RNAcentral.